This 318-nucleotide long non-coding RNA is filed under the name Androctonus crassicauda. The record is from RNAcentral. Lineage: Eukaryota; Metazoa; Arthropoda; Arachnida; Scorpiones; Buthidae.
GUCGUUUUUCUCUUUAAGCUUUUCCGCAGAUUCUGGGCCCAUAACCUGUUAAUGUAUUAGUUUUAUGGCAAAGAAAUGGACCAAGUUUGACAAAAAAGAACAAAGUUUUAUUGUUAGUCAGUCACCAUGUUUUUAUAACAACCGCCGAGAGAGAGAGGAAGCAAGACUGUGUUGCCACACAAUAAUAAAUAAAAAUAAAUAUUUUAACACUAUCAAAUCUCUAGCAAUAUGUGCUUUUGAAUUAUGUUCACAUUUUGAAGAAUUCAUUAUGUUCAUUAAAAGAAGAGUUAGUCUAUAUUAAUAAUACUUUUAAAAAAC